CCUACGGGUGGCAGCAGUGAGGAAUAUUGGUCAAUGGGCGUAAGCCUGAACCAGCCAAGUCGCGUGAGGGAUGAGGGCUCUAUGGAUCGUAAACCUCUUUUAUAAGGGAAUAAAGUGCGGGACGUGUCCCGUUUUGUAUGUACUUUAUGAAUAAGGAUCGGCUAACUCCGUGCCAGCAGCCGCGGUAAUACGGAGGAUCCGAGCGUUAUCCGGAUUUAUUGGGUUUAAAGGGUGCGUAGGUGGCUUUUUAAGUCAGCUGUGAAAGUCUGUGGCUCAACCAUAGAAUUGCCGUUGAAACUGGGAGUCUUGAGUAUGUUUGAGGCAGGCGGAAUGCGUGGUGUAGCGGUGAAAUGCUUAGAUAUCACGCAGAACCCCGAUUGCGAAGGCAGCCUACCAAGCCAUGACUGACGCUGAUGCACGAAAGCGUGGGGAUCAAACAGGAUUAGAUACCCUUGUAGUC
RNAcentral lists this ribosomal RNA (460 nucleotides) under uncultured bacterium. Its description in RNAcentral is "partial 16S ribosomal RNA". It matches the Rfam family "Bacterial small subunit ribosomal RNA", at positions 338 to 795 of the family's 1533-position model. The record is from RNAcentral.